This 542-nucleotide unclassified non-coding RNA is filed under the name Hevea brasiliensis (rubber tree). Lineage: Eukaryota; Viridiplantae; Streptophyta; Magnoliopsida; Malpighiales; Euphorbiaceae. The record is from RNAcentral.
AUAAUUGUUGCAUGUUUGAUGACUGAUUGUGUUUUGUAUUUCAAUCUUUCAUUCUAAUUCAUUGUCUGCAGAGCCAAGCAUCAUUAUUAGGGAUUUUUGAGCUUGCACCAAAUAUUUUGCAGGGCUGAGCAUUGAGAAUUGUCAUUAGACUUAGCCAUAUUACAUUGUUAUGUGUUUGGUAAUUGAUUAUGUUUCUUUCAUUUUAGCUUAAUGUUCAAAUUUCCCACGGCUUUUCAGCGAAAGAAGAAAGGAACUGCUGGCUUUUCAACCAGCACUGAUAUCAAACAAAAUCCAACAGAAGUCCCAAAUCCUUAUCAUGUUGCUGUCAAGUAACUUGUAGAACUAAUGCCAUUUCCCCAUAUAUAUGUGGAACACAUCCAAAUAAAAUCCAAUUAGUUAAGCCUUCAAUGAAAAGAUAUUUUUAUCUUCUUAUAAAACCAUAGAAUGAGGCUAAGUCAAGCGUUUCAAAGAUAGCGGAAGACUUACCAGUCAUCACAUAUUCAGGGGCAGCAUAACCAUAAGUACCCAUCACUCGAGUUGAC